CACAAGCGGUGGAGCAUGUGGUUAAUUCGAUGCAACGCGAAGAACCUUACCUGGUCGUUGACAUCCCGGAGACCCUUAGGAAACUAGGGGGUGCUUCCAUCUGGAAGAAUCUGGAGACAGGUGCUGCAUGGCUGUCGUCAGCUCGUGUCGUGAGAUGUUGGGUUAAGUCCCGCAACGAGCGCAACCCUUGCCUUUAGUUGCCAGCAGUUCGGCUGGGCACUCUAAAGGGACUGCCGGUGUUAAACCGGAGGAAGGUGGGGAUGACGUCAAGUCCUCAUGGCCUUUAUGACCAGGGCUACACACGUACUACAAUGGCCGAUACAAAGGGCAGCGACACGUGCGAGGUGAAGCCAAUCCCGUAAAAUCGGUCUCAGUCCGGAUUGGAGUCUGCAACUCGACUCCAUGAAGUUGGAAUCGCUAGUAAUCGUGGAUCAGCAUGCCACGGUGAAUACGUUCCCGGGCCUU
This 465-nucleotide ribosomal RNA is filed under the name uncultured Desulfobulbus sp. RNAcentral's name for it is "bacterial SSU rRNA". It matches the Rfam family "Bacterial small subunit ribosomal RNA", at positions 924 to 1382 of the family's 1533-position model. The record is from RNAcentral. Lineage: Bacteria; Pseudomonadati; Thermodesulfobacteriota; Desulfobulbia; Desulfobulbales; Desulfobulbaceae.